RNAcentral lists this ribosomal RNA (460 nucleotides) under uncultured bacterium. Its description in RNAcentral is "partial 16S ribosomal RNA". It matches the Rfam family "Bacterial small subunit ribosomal RNA", at positions 338 to 795 of the family's 1533-position model. The record is from RNAcentral.
CCUACGGGUGGCAGCAGUGAGGAAUAUUGGUCAAUGGGCGAGAGCCUGAACCAGCCAAGUCGCGUGAGGGAGUACUGCCCUAUGGGUUGUAAACCUCUUUUGUCAGGGAGCAACGCCGGCUACGUGUAGCCGGACUGAGAGUACCUGAAGAAAAAGCAUCGGCUAACUCCGUGCCAGCAGCCGCGGUAAUACGGAGGAUGCGAGCGUUAUCCGGAUUUAUUGGGUUUAAAGGGUGCGUAGGCGGAAUGCCAAGUCAGCGGUAAAAUCGCGGGGCUCAACCUCGCUCCGCCGUUGAAACUGGCGUUCUGGAGUGGGCGAGAAGUAUGCGGAAUGCGUGGUGUAGCGGUGAAAUGCAUAGAUAUCACGCAGAACUCCGAUUGCGAAGGCAGCAUACCGGCGCCCAACUGACGCUGAAGCACGAAAGCGUGGGUAUCGAACAGGAUUAGAUACCCGGGUAGUC